GUCAUAUGCUUGUCUCAAAGAUUAAGCCAUGCAUGUCUCAGUACAAGCCAAAUUAAGGUGAAACCGCGAAAGGCUCAUUAAAUCAGUUAUGGUUCCUUAGAUCGUACCCACAAUUACUUGGAUAACUGUGGUAAUUCUAGAGCUAAUACAUGCAAACAGAGCUCCGACCGGAGACGGAAGGAGUGCUUUUAUUAGAUCAAAACCAAUCGGUGGCGGGUUCGCUCGUUAUCGUACAACUUGGUGACUCUGAAUAACUUUUCGCUGAUCGCACGGUCAUCGCACCGGCGACGCAUCUUUCAAAUGUCUGCCUUAUCAACUGUCGAUGGUAGGUUCUGCGCCUACCAUGGUUGUAACGGGUAACGGGGAAUCAGGGUUCGAUUCCGGAGAGGGAGCCUGAGAAACGGCUACCACAUCCAAGGAAGGCAGCAGGCGCGCAAAUUACCCACUCCCGGCACGGGGAGGUAGUGACGAAAAAUAACGAUACGGGACUCAUCCGAGGCCCCGUAAUCGGAAUGARUACACUCUAAACCCUUUAACGAGGAUCAAUUGGAGGGCAAGUCUGGUGCC
Molecule: ribosomal RNA, 567 nt
Filed under: Trigonopterus sp. 512 AR-2020
Lineage: Eukaryota; Metazoa; Arthropoda; Insecta; Coleoptera; Curculionidae
Description: SSU rRNA
Source: RNAcentral